CUCUAGUCCGUUCUUUUCAUGCUCUUUCCAGAUCCUUACGUGCACCCAUUGGAAGACCAAUGGGAAGAACCAGCUUGCACAAGUAGAAUGGUGCUGUUUGAACUCUUUGUCCGCGCAGAUAUCGAUGAGGUCCACUCCUUCUGACAUGGCUCAGGAAGGACGAUCUGGCACCCGGAGAAGGGACAAAGUAAAAGACACACCACGGGAAUAUGGCAGCGGCGCCGAGUCCGGACUAGGCCCGCAAGUCCACCAAUAUUAAUGAGACAGAGCCUUGGUAUUCAGAGGUCUAAUGGCUUCCUCCAUCUAGUCACUGCACUAAUAGUUAAUGGAGUCCACAUUCAAAACUAGAUCUGUUUAUAUUAAAGCACAAGCAUUUAUCCAACAUGUGGUGCUGCUGCCUCUAUCAUUUCUUUCCUUUUGGAUUUCACUGAGGAUUCCAUAGCCAUUUAGAUUCUAUCUCAUCACUGAAACUGACUUUUUCUUUGUGGUAUACCAAAUCCAGUACACUAAAUACACUGCACAGCCUGUGGAUGGCUGACCCUGUGGACAAUGAGUAGGAAGGCCACACUCAUGCUGGGAAGUCCUUUCUCUUGGGCUGGCCCAUGGAGAACUUUGUGAUGACCUUCAGUCGGCUGCCUCCAAGGUAGCCCAGCCUCCAGUGAUGGAGGGGAACUGCUCACGGCAUGGUGACAGGAAGCAUAUGGAGAGGGAAGGAGCUGUGGAGAGAGAUAAACCCUUCCAGGCCAGGUGCCCAGUGACCAUCUCCUCUAACCAGACCCCACCUUCCAACAGUAAGCCAGCUAUACUACUCUUAUCUCCAGUCACCUUUGAAACACAUAAGACUUUGGGGGCCAUUUUAGAUCUAAAACGUAACAGUUUUGAUCAGUGGAUUUUCAGCAGUGCUCCAGGAGCUACUUGGAGGUAGUGAGUGUGCUGGGCUGUGCAAGGAAGCUAAGGGAGCAAGACUCUAGCCACCCCUCAACUUCC
This is a non-coding RNA of Heterocephalus glaber (naked mole-rat), 987 nucleotides long. The record is from RefSeq and is a predicted model, not a curated record. Lineage: Eukaryota; Metazoa; Chordata; Mammalia; Rodentia; Bathyergidae.